UACCCAUGCAUGUAUGGAGUUCGAUCAGCUUAUAGGCGAUGGGACCGAGUGAACGCUAGAUGCUGAGAUUCGUUUAUUUUAGAAUUAUUGUUAAAAAUUAGAUAAUUUAGUUAGCUUAAACUUAACUUGUGAUUGACAUUUAAUAUUUUAGUUUUGUUAGAAUUAUUACUAAAUUUGGUGAAUUUAGUGAUUUAUUUGUGGAACUUUCAAUUAUGCAUUUAGUUUUGUGGAUUCAAAUCGGAUUGAUAUUUAACUUAAAUUCGUGAUAGAUUAUUUUACUCAAUAUUUGCAUGAUUUGUUGCCUUGCAUAAUUACAGAUAUGCGGUGUCUGUUAUAUCUCAAAUUCGGAGCGUGACACUAAAGGUGUGUUUGGCUUGAAGUCGGACUCGAUAUCGGAAUAGGAAUGAGAAAAAGCUGGAAACAGAAUCAGAAUGAUUUAUUAUCUCAUUUUGUUUGGCUUACCACCUGAAUUGGAAUCGGAAUGAACCAUUCCUAUUGUCGAUGUUUGGUUUAAAUAGAUAUCAGAAACAUAAUCAAAUUAAUAUGACAAUUUAUCUUUAUAAUAUAUUAGUUUAAAUUCAAACUGAAAAUUAAAUAUUAAAAAUUUACAUCCAAAUUUUAAAUGAUGUCAAAAUUUUAAAUAUAUGUUUUAAAAAAAUUAAAAUUUGAAAUUGAAUUGAUAAUUCAAAAUAUAAAAAAACAAUUUCAAUUUAUUCAAAUUCAAACUGAAAAUUAUAAUUUAAAUUUCAAUUUGAAUCCAUAAAUUUAAUUUAAAUUUUAAAUAAAAUUUGAAUAAAACUUUAGAUUUUAAAUUAAAUUUAAAUUUAAAUUUAUAAAUUAGAUUCGAAAUGCUUGAUUGAAUUUUUAAUUUUUAAUUUAAGUUCGAAUUAAAAUUUAAAUUUAUAAAUAUAUUUUUAAAUUUAAACUUAUGUUUUAAUUAAAAAAUAAGUUUAAAAAAUUUAAAUUUAAUCAAAACAAAUUCAUUCCGUCCUAGGCCGGAUUGGAAAAAGGAAUAAUUAGGGGGAUUCCCAUUCACACGAGAAUAAGAAUCGGAAUGAGAAUUUCACAUAUCAAACACGAAUAAAUGGAUUCGUUCAUUUCGAUUCCGAUUUCAGUGUAAAAAAGGAGCGAACCAAACACGUCCUAAGUAUUCUUGCAAAUUCCACUUCCAGAAAUUCUCAAAAAAGUCAUUUAAAGUGUGACACGAAAAGCGACUAGUGCUGCCAAACUUGAUUUUCUUCUCUCUCUUGGAACUCCAAAAUCAUUCUCGAACGCAUGCAAUUUCACACGU
Molecule: long non-coding RNA, 1291 nt
Filed under: Ananas comosus (pineapple)
Lineage: Eukaryota; Viridiplantae; Streptophyta; Magnoliopsida; Poales; Bromeliaceae
Description: long non-coding RNA (ACOM_LNC018031)
Source: RNAcentral